This 554-nucleotide ribosomal RNA is filed under the name Kribbella sp. 415A10. RNAcentral describes it as "bacterial SSU rRNA". It matches the Rfam family "Bacterial small subunit ribosomal RNA", at positions 103 to 671 of the family's 1533-position model. The record is from RNAcentral. Lineage: Bacteria; Bacillati; Actinomycetota; Actinomycetes; Propionibacteriales; Kribbellaceae.
CGGGUGAGUAACACGUGAGCAACCUACCCUCAACUUUGGGAUAAGCCUCGGAAACGGGGUCUAAUACCGGAUAACACUACAUGCUUCAUGGUGUGUGGUUGAAAGUUCUGGCGGUUGGGGAUGGGCUCGCGGCCUAUCAGCUUGUUGGUGGGGUAAUGGCCUACCAAGGCGUCGACGGGUAGCCGGCCUGAGAGGGCGACCGGCCACACUGGGACUGAGACACGGCCCAGACUCCUACGGGAGGCAGCAGUGGGGAAUAUUGCGCAAUGGACGAAAGUCUGACGCAGCAACGCCGCGUGAGGGAUGACGGCCUUCGGGUUGUAAACCUCUUUCAGCAGGGACGAAGCGAGAGUGACGGUACCUGCAGAAGAAGGACCGGCCAACUACGUGCCAGCAGCCGCGGUAAUACGUAGGGUCCGAGCGUUGUCCGGAAUUAUUGGGCGUAAAGGGCUCGUAGGCGGUUCGUCACGUCGGGAGUGAAAACUCGGGGCUUAACCCCGAGCCUGCUUCCGAUACGGGCAGACUAGAGGUAGGNAGGGGAGAGCGGAACUCCU